Molecule: ribosomal RNA, 305 nt
Filed under: uncultured bacterium
Lineage: Bacteria
Description: bacterial SSU rRNA
Rfam family: Bacterial small subunit ribosomal RNA
Source: RNAcentral
UCCCUACGGGGGGCAGCAGUGAGGAAUAUUGGUCAAUGGGCGGAAGCCUGAACCAGCCAAGUCGGGUGAGGGAAUAAGGCCCUACGGGUCGUAAACCUCUUUUGCCGGGGAGCAAGGGCCGGGGCGCGUCCCGGCCCGGAGAGUACCCGGAGAAAAAGCAUCGGCUAACUCCGUGCCAGCAGCCGCGGUAAUACGGAGGAUGCGAGCGUUAUCCGGAUUUAUUGGGUUUAAAGGGUGCGUAGGCGGGCUUUUAAGUCAGCGGUAAAAAUUUGGGGCUCAACCCCGUCCGGCCGUUGAAACUGGGG